This 630-nucleotide small RNA is filed under the name Pan troglodytes (chimpanzee). RNAcentral describes it as "retained intron". The record is from RNAcentral. Lineage: Eukaryota; Metazoa; Chordata; Mammalia; Primates; Hominidae.
GGGAGGGAGGGACUGAUGAGGGAGGGAGGGAAUGAGUGACUGAAUGAGUGAGUGACUGAGUGAGGGAGGGAGAGGGAGGGAGUGACUUGAGUGACUGAGUGGCCUGUUGCUUCCGUGUUCCUGUUAACACUCCUGGGCCGAGCCCUCCUGACACCUGGGCCCUGCUUCUCGCCCAUUCACCAGGUCUCUCUCCUCCUGGGCGAGCCGUUCUUCACUACCAGCCUGCUGCCGUGGCACAACCUCUACUUCUGGUACGUGCGGACUGCUGUGGACCAGCACCUGGGGCCAGGUGCCAUGGUGAUGCCCCAGGCAGCCUCGCUGCACGCUGUGGUUGUGGAGUUCAGGGACCUGUGGCGGAUCCGGAGCCCCUGUGGUGACUGCGAAGGCUUCGACGUGCACAUCAUGGACGACAUGAUUAAGCGUGCCCUGGACUUCAGGGAGAGCAGGGAAGCUGAGCCCCACCCGCUGUGGGAGUACCCAUGCCGCAGCCUCUCUGAGCCCUGGCAGAUCCUGACCUUUGACUUCCGGCAGCCGGUGCCCCUGCAGCCCCUGUGUGCCGAGGGCACCGUGGAGCUCAGAAGGCCCGGGCAGAGCCACGCAGCGGUGCUAUGGAUGGAGUACCACCUGAUC